CCUACGGGAGGCAGCAGUAGGGAAUAUUGCUCAAUGGGGGAAACCCUGAAGCAGCAACGCCGCGUGGAGGAUGAAGGUUUUAGGAUGGUAAACUCCUUUUGUUAGAGAAGAGGAUGACGGUAGCUAACGAAUAAGCACCGGCUAACUCCGUGCCAGCAGCCGCGGUAAUACGGAGGGUGCAAGCGUUACUCGGAAUCACUGGGCGUCAGAGUGCGUCGGCGGGGUCAGAAGUCAGAUGUGAAAUCCUGUAGCUUAACUACAGAACUGCCUUUGAAACUGUUACUCUGGAGUGUGGGAGAGGUAGGUGGAAUUCUUGGUGUAGUGGUCACAUCCGUAGAGAUCACGAGGAAUACUCAUUGCGAAGGCGACCUGCUGGACCAUUACUGACGCUGAUGCACGAACGCGUGGGGAGCAAACAGGAUUAGAUACCCGGGUAGUC
This 439-nucleotide ribosomal RNA is filed under the name uncultured bacterium. Its description in RNAcentral is "partial 16S ribosomal RNA". It matches the Rfam family "Bacterial small subunit ribosomal RNA", at positions 338 to 795 of the family's 1533-position model. The record is from RNAcentral.